This 561-nucleotide ribosomal RNA is filed under the name Hansenula anomala. RNAcentral describes it as "eukaryotic LSU rRNA". The stretch from base 166 to 319 matches the Rfam family "5.8S ribosomal RNA". Lineage: Eukaryota; Fungi; Ascomycota; Saccharomycetes; Phaffomycetales; Wickerhamomycetaceae. The record is from RNAcentral.
CGCUUAUUGCGCGGCGAUAAACCUUACACACAUUGUCUAGUUUUUUUGAACUUUGCUUUGGGUGCAUCAGCCUAGCUGCGUGCCCAAAGGUCUAAACACAUUUUUUAAUGUUAAAACCUUUAACCAAUAGUCAUGAAAAUUUUUAACAAAAAUUAAAAUCUUCAAAACUUUCAACAACGGAUCUCUUGGUUCUCGCAACGAUGAAGAACGCAGCGAAAUGCGAUACGUAUUGUGAAUUGCAGAUUUUCGUGAAUCAUCGAAUCUUUGAACGCACAUUGCACCCUCUGGUAUUCCAGAGGGUAUGCCUGUUUGAGCGUCAUUUCUCUCUCAAACCUUCGGGUUUGGUAUUGAGUGAUACUCUGUCAAGGGUUAACUUGAAAUAUUGACUUAGCAAGAGUGUACUAAUAAGCAGUCUUUCUGAAAUAAUGUAUUAGGUUCUUCCAACUCGUUAUAUCAGCUAGGCAGGUUUAGAAGUAUUUUAGGCUCGGCUUAACAACAAUAAACUAAAAGUUUGACCUCAAAUCAGGUAGGACUACCCGCUGAACUUAAGCAUAUCAAUAA